GCUGGGUGUGGUGGUGCACACCUGUAAUCCCAGCAGCUCAGGAGGCUGAGGCAGGAGGAUGCUGACUUCAAAGUCAGCCUCAGCAACUUAGCAAGGCCCUAUGCCCUAAUGAGACCCUGUCUCUA
This 125-nucleotide small RNA is filed under the name Marmota monax (woodchuck). Lineage: Eukaryota; Metazoa; Chordata; Mammalia; Rodentia; Sciuridae. The record is from RNAcentral.